ACUUAAUUAGUAUAAUAAGUAUAAAAGACUUCCAAUCUUUAGGUCUAUCUAAUAGAUUAAGUA
This 63-nucleotide transfer RNA is filed under the name Octolasmis warwickii. Its description in RNAcentral is "tRNA-Gly". Lineage: Eukaryota; Metazoa; Arthropoda; Thecostraca; Poecilasmatidae. The record is from RNAcentral. RNAcentral also lists the same sequence under 1 other name.